GCAAGGAGGGAGCUGCCGAAGGCAGGUUCGAUAACUGGGGUGAAGUCGUAACAAGGUAGCCGUAUCGGAAGGUGCGGCUGGAUCACCUCCUUUCUAAGGAA
This 101-nucleotide ribosomal RNA is filed under the name Roseburia inulinivorans. RNAcentral's name for it is "partial 16S ribosomal RNA". It matches the Rfam family "Bacterial small subunit ribosomal RNA", at positions 1441 to 1533 of the family's 1533-position model. Lineage: Bacteria; Bacillati; Bacillota; Clostridia; Lachnospirales; Lachnospiraceae. The record is from RNAcentral.